AGGACGAACGCUGGCGGCGUGCUUAACACAUGCAAGUCGAGCGGAAAGGCCCUUCGGGGUACUCGAGCGGCGAACGGGUGAGUAACACGUGAGUAACCUGCCCCUAGCUCUGGGAUAGCUCCGGGAAACCGGGAUUAAUACCAGAUACGACCACUUUAGACAUCUGUCGUGGUGGAAAGGAUUCCGGCUAGGGAUGGGCUCGCGGCCUAUCAGCUUGUUGGUGGGGUAACGGCCUACCAAGGCGACGACGGGUAGCCGGCCUGAGAGGGCGACCGGCCACACUGGGACUGAGACACGGCCCAGACUCCUACGGGAGGCAGCAGUGGGGAAUAUUGCGCAAUGGGCGAAAGCCUGACGCAGCGACGCCGCGUGGGGGAUGAAGGCCUUCGGGUUGGUAAACCUCUUUCAGCGCAGACGAAGCGAAAGUGACGGUAUGCGCAGAAGAAGCACCGGCCAACUACGCGCCAGCAGCCGC
RNAcentral lists this ribosomal RNA (475 nucleotides) under uncultured bacterium. RNAcentral describes it as "SSU rRNA". It matches the Rfam family "Bacterial small subunit ribosomal RNA", at positions 26 to 518 of the family's 1533-position model. The record is from RNAcentral.